This 315-nucleotide ribosomal RNA is filed under the name Triticum aestivum (bread wheat). Its description in RNAcentral is "partial small subunit ribosomal RNA". The record is from RNAcentral. Lineage: Eukaryota; Viridiplantae; Streptophyta; Magnoliopsida; Poales; Poaceae.
AUGCGGGCCAGCGGCGCGGCAAGUUCGUGGGCGGUGGGGCGGACGCGCAUCUCUACGACGACCCGGACGCCGCCGCCAUCCUGGCGCUCCUCGACUAGAAGCCAUGGUUCUUCCAUCGCACCCUUAUCUUCUCAAGGAAACACACAUCAGUAUUAUUCAUAUGGUGGUGGAUACCAGAGUGGUAGUACAACAAAAAAGAUUGAUAUCCCAAAUGGAAGGUUGGUGUUAUCAUUGGAAAAGCUGGAGAAACUAUACAGCAUAUCCAAUUUCAGUCAGGGGUCACAGACAAGAUUGGUUGAUCUUUCGGGAAGAUAA